GACGAACGCUGGCGGCGUGCUUAACACAUGCAAGUCGAACGGAAAGGCCCUGCAUCUGUGGGGUGGUCGCAUGGCGAACGGGUGAGUAAUACGAGAGUAACCUGCAAUUGACUUUGGGCUUACUUCUGGCAAAUGGGGAUCAUAGCGGAAAGGAGCUCCUGCUGCUAGGAGGGGGUUGGAAAGUUUCGGCGGUUGGGGAAGGACUCGCGGCUUAUCAGCUUGUUGGCGUGGUAGUGGCUAACCAGGGCUUUGACGGGUCGCCGGCCUGAGGGGGGGACCGGCCACAUUGGGACUGAGAUGCGGCCCAGACUACUACGGGAGGCAGCAGUGGAGAAUAGUGCACAAUGGGCGGAAGCCUGAUGCAGCAACGCCGCGUGCGGGAUGACAGCCUUCAGGUUGUAAACCGCAUUCGCCUGUGACGAAGCGUAAGUGACGGUAAUGUGUAAAGAAGCACCGGCUAACUACGUG
RNAcentral lists this ribosomal RNA (468 nucleotides) under uncultured bacterium. Its description in RNAcentral is "partial 16S ribosomal RNA". It matches the Rfam family "Bacterial small subunit ribosomal RNA", at positions 28 to 507 of the family's 1533-position model. The record is from RNAcentral.